GACGAACGCUGGCGGCGUGCUUAACACAUGCAAGUCGAGCGGAAAGGCCACUUCGGUGGUACUCGAGCGGCGAACGGGUGAGUAACACGUGAGUAAUCUGCCCUGGACUUUGGGAUAGCCACCGGAAACGGUGAUUAAUACCGGAUAUGACCUGAUGCCGCAUGGUGUUGGGUGGAAAGUUUUUCGGUUCAGGAUGUGCUCGCGGCCUAUCAGCUUGAUGGUGGGGUAAUGGCCUACCAUGGCUUCGACGGGUAGCCGGCCUGAGAGGGUGACCGGCCACACUGGGACUGAGACACGGCCCAGACUCCUACGGGUGGCAG
Molecule: ribosomal RNA, 320 nt
Filed under: uncultured Actinomycetes bacterium
Lineage: Bacteria; Bacillati; Actinomycetota; Actinomycetes
Description: bacterial SSU rRNA
Rfam family: Bacterial small subunit ribosomal RNA
Source: RNAcentral